AGACUGAGCAAUGGCCCCAGAAACUGAUCAUGCAGCUCAUCCCUCAGCAACUGCUGACCACCCUGGGCCCGCUGUUCCGGAACUCGAGAAUGGUCCAGUUCCACUUCACCAACAAGGACCUGGAGUCCCUCAAAGGCCUCUACCGCAUCAUGGGCAAUGGCUUUGCCGGCUGCGUGCACUUCCCACAUACAGCCCCGUGCGAGGUGCGCGUGCUCAUGCUCCUGUACUCGUCUAAGAAGAAGAUCUUCAUGGGCCUCAUCCCCUACGACCAGAGUGGCUUCGUCAAUGGCAUCCGCCAGGUCAUCACCAACCAUAAGCAGGUCCAGCAGCAGAAGCUAGAGCAGCAGCGUGGGUUACAGCUCCGUGCACCACAGCCUCAGCCUCAGGGUGCUGUGGGAGCUUCUGCGGCUACAGGGCAGCCCCAGCCCCAAGGUACUACCCAGGCCCCAACAGGGGCACCCCAAGGUCCUCCUGGAGCAGCCCCUGGCCCACCUCCUUCUGGACCCAUCCUUCGACCCCAGAACCCUGGAGCCAACCCCCAGCUGCGGAGCCUUCUCCUUAAUCCAGCACCGCCCCAGACUGGGGUACCCCCACCCCAGGCCUCCCUACACCACCUCCAGCCUCCAGGGGCCCCUGCAUUGCUGCCGCCACAUCAGAGCCUGGGGCAGCCGCAGCUAGGGCCGCAACUCCUGCACCCUCCACCUACCCAGUCUUGGCCCACACAGCUACCCCAGAGGGCGCCACUGCCAGGUCAGAUGCUGCUGAGCGGGGGUCCCCGGGGCCCGGUUCCCCAGCCGGGCCUGCAGCCCAGCGUCAUGGAGGACGACAUCCUCAUGGACCUCAUCUGAACCCAACACCCAAUAAAGUUCCUUUUAACAAUG
RNAcentral lists this long non-coding RNA (881 nucleotides) under Rattus norvegicus (Norway rat). RNAcentral describes it as "long non-coding RNA NONRATT002605". The record is from RNAcentral. Lineage: Eukaryota; Metazoa; Chordata; Mammalia; Rodentia; Muridae.